UUAAGCGACUAAGCGUACACGGUGGAUGCCCUGGCAGUCAGAGGCGAUGAAGGACGUGCUAAUCUGCGAUAAGCGUCGGUAAGGUGAUAUGAACCGUUAUAACCGGCGAUUUCCGAAUGGGGAAACCCAGUGCAAUUCGUUGCACUAUCAUUACGUGAAUACAUAGCGUAAUGAAGCGAACCGGGGGGAACUGAAACAUCUAAGUACCCCGAGGAAAAGAAAUCAACCGAGAUUCCCCCAGUAGCGGCGAGCGAACGGGGAGCAGCCCAGAGUCUGAAUCAGCUUGUGUGUUAGUGGAACGGUCUGGAAAGUCCGACGGUACAGGGUGAUAGUCCCGUACACCAAAACACACAGGUUGUGAACUCGAAGAGUAGGGCGGGACACGUGGUAUCCUGUCUGAAUAUGGGGGGACCAUCCUCCAAGGCUAAAUACUCCUGACUGACCGAUAGUGAACCAGUACCGUGAGGGAAAGGCGAAAAGAACCCCGGCGAGGGGAGUGAAAAAGAACCUGAAACCGUGUACGUACAAGCAGUGGGAGCCUCUUUAUGGGGUGACUGCGUACCUUUUGUAUAAUGGGUCAGCGACUUAUAUUCUGUAGCAAGGUUAACCGAAUAGGGGAGCCGAAGGGAAACCGAGUCUUAACUGGGCGUUAAGUUGCAGGGUAUAGACCCGAAACCCGGUGAUCUAGCCAUGGGCAGGUUGAAGGUUGGGUAACACUAACUGGAGGACCGAACCGACUAAUGUUGAAAAAUUAGCGGAUGACUUGUGGCUGGGGGUGAAAGGCCAAUCAAACCGGGAGAUAGCUGGUUCUCCCCGAAAGCUAUUUAGGUAGCGCCUCGUGAACUCAUCUUCGGGGGUAGAGCACUGUUUCGGCUAGGGGGUCAUCCCGACUUACCAACCCGAUGCAAACUGCGAAUACCGAAGAAUGUUAUCACGGGAGACACACGGCGGGUGCUAACGUCCGUCGUGAAGAGGGAAACAACCCAGACCGCCAGCUAAGGUCCCAAAGUCAUGGUUAAGUGGGAAACGAUGUGGGAAGGCACAGACAGCCAGGAUGUUGGCUUAGAAGCAGCCAUCAUUUAAAGAAAGCGUAAUAGCUCACUGGUCGAGUCGGCCUGCGCGGAAGAUGUAACGGGGCUAAACCAUGCACCGAAGCUGCGGCAGCGACACUAUGUGUUGUUGGGUAGGGGAGCGUUCUGUAAGCCGUUGAAGGUGGCCUGUGAGGGUUGCUGGAGGUAUCAGAAGUGCGAAUGCUGACAUAAGUAACGAUAAUGCGGGUGAAAAACCCGCACGCCGGAAGACCAAGGGUUCCUGUCCAACGUUAAUCGGGGCAGGGUGAGUCGACCCCUAAGGCGAGGCCGAAAGGCGUAGUCGAUGGGAAACAGGUUAAUAUUCCUGUACUUGGUGUUACUGCGAAGGGGGGACGGAGAAGGCUAUGUUGGCCGGGCGACGGUUGUCCCGGUUUAAGCGUGUAGGUGUGUGUUCCAGGUAAAUCCGGAAUGCUUUAACACUGAGGCGUGAUGACGAGGCACCACGGUGCUGAAGUGACAAAUGCCCUGCUUCCAGGAAAAGCCUCUAAGCAUCAGGUAACAUCAAAUCGUACCCCAAACCGACACAGGUGGUCAGGUAGAGAAUACCAAGGCGCUUGAGAGAACUCGGGUGAAGGAACUAGGCAAAAUGGUGCCGUAACUUCGGGAGAAGGCACGCUGAUAUGUAGGUGAAGUGAUUUACUCAUGGAGCUGAAAUCAGUCGAAGAUACCAGCUGGCUGCAACUGUUUAUUAAAAACACAGCACUGUGCAAACACGAAAGUGGACGUAUACGGUGUGACGCCUGCCCGGUGCCGGAAGGUUAAUUGAUGGGGUUAUCCGUAAGGAGAAGCUCUUGAUCGAAGCCCCGGUAAACGGCGGCCGUAACUAUAACGGUCCUAAGGUAGCGAAAUUCCUUGUCGGGUAAGUUCCGACCUGCACGAAUGGCGUAAUGAUGGCCAGGCUGUCUCCACCCGAGACUCAGUGAAAUUGAACUCGCUGUGAAGAUGCAGUGUACCCGCGGCAAGACGGAAAGACCCCGUGAACCUUUACUAUAGCUUGACACUGAACACUGGUCCUUGAUGUGUAGGAUAGGUGGGAGGCUUUGAAGUGUGGACGCCAGUCUGCAUGGAGCCGACCUUGAAAUACCACCCUUUAAUGGCUGGUGUUCUAACGUGGGCCCGUGAUCCGGGUUGCGGACAGUGUCUGGUGGGUAGUUUGACUGGGGCGGUCUCCUCCCAAAGAGUAACGGAGGAGCACGAAGGUUAGCUAAUCCUGGUCGGACAUCAGGAGGUUAGUGCAAAGGCAUAAGCUAGCUUGACUGCGAGAGUGACGGCUCGAGCAGGUGCGAAAGCAGGUCUUAGUGAUCCGGUGGUUCUGAAUGGAAGGGCCAUCGCUCAACGGAUAAAAGGUACUCCGGGGAUAACAGGCUGAUACCGCCCAAGAGUUCAUAUCGACGGCGGUGUUUGGCACCUCGAUGUCGGCUCAUCACAUCCUGGGGCUGAAGUAGGUCCCAAGGGUAUGGCUGUUCGCCAUUUAAAGUGGUACGCGAGCUGGGUUUAGAACGUCGUGAGACAGUUCGGUCCCUAUCUGCCGUGGGCGCUGGAGAAUUGAGGGGGGCUGCUCCUAGUACGAGAGGACCGGAGUGGACGCAUCACUGGUGUUCGGGUUGUCAUGCCAAUGGCACUGCCCGGUAGCUAAAUGCGGAAGAGAUAAGUGCUGAAAGCAUCUAAGCACGAAACUUGCCCCGAGAUGAGUUCUCCCUGACCCUUUAAGGGUCCUGAAGGAACGUUGAAGACGACGACGUUGAUAGGCCGGGUGUGUAAGCGCAGCGAUGCGUUGAGCUAACCGGUACUAAUGAACCGUGAGGCUUAACCUU
RNAcentral lists this ribosomal RNA (2905 nucleotides) under Citrobacter freundii. Its description in RNAcentral is "bacterial LSU rRNA". It matches the Rfam family "Bacterial large subunit ribosomal RNA". The record is from RNAcentral. Lineage: Bacteria; Pseudomonadati; Pseudomonadota; Gammaproteobacteria; Enterobacterales; Enterobacteriaceae.